Passer domesticus (house sparrow) is the source of this 292-nucleotide long non-coding RNA. RefSeq lists it as uncharacterized. Lineage: Eukaryota; Metazoa; Chordata; Aves; Passeriformes; Passeridae. The transcript is spliced from 2 exons. The record is from RefSeq and is a predicted model, not a curated record.
UAACAUUCCAGCUGCAGAGAUCACUCAUGCAUAUGCAUAGUCCUCCAGGAGCAGAAAAGGCAGGAUUAUUGCAUGUGUCUGAAAGUCUUAAUUAACAGACUUCAGCAGGGUGAAUGCAAAAUGAAUACUAAUCUGCACUGGACUUCAACCUGCCUGGAAGCAGAAUUUGGGUUUUCUUUUCUUCUUCUGAUCCACUUGAAUGAAUGGAGUCAACAGCAGAGAAUAUGAGCUUUUUUUAACAGAUGAAGUGCAGAAAGGCAUUUAAUUAAAUUAAAGCUCGGAAAAUGUUAAA